This 253-nucleotide ribosomal RNA is filed under the name uncultured bacterium. RNAcentral describes it as "partial 16S ribosomal RNA". It matches the Rfam family "Bacterial small subunit ribosomal RNA", at positions 524 to 776 of the family's 1533-position model. The record is from RNAcentral.
UACGUAGGGCGCGAGCGUUGUCCGGAAUUAUUGGGCGUAAAGAGCUCGUAGGUGGCUUGUCGCGUCUGCCGUGAAAGCCCGUGGCUUAACUACGGGUCUGCGGUGGAUACGGGCAGGCUAGAGGCUGGUAGGGGCAAGCGGAAUUCCUGGUGUAGCGGUGAAAUGCGCAGAUAUCAGGAGGAACACCGGUGGCGAAGGCGGCUUGCUGGGCCAGUUCUGACGCUGAGGAGCGAAAGCGUGGGGAGCGAACAGG